UGGGGAAUAUUGCACAAUGGGCGCAAGCCUGAUGCAGCAACGCCGCGUGAACGAUGAAGGUCUUUGGAUCGUAAAGUUCUGUUGCAGGGGAAGAUAAUGACGGUACCCUGUGAGGAAGCCCCGGCUAACUACGUGCCAACAGCCGCGGUAAUACGUAGGGGGCUAGCGUUAUCCGGAUUUACUGGGCGUAAAGGGUGCGUAGGUGGUCUUUCAAGUCGGUGGUUAAAGGCUACGGCUCAACCGUAGUUAGCCUCCGAAACUGGAAGACUUGAGUGCAGGAGAGGAAAGUGGAAUUCCCAGUGUAGCGGUGAAAUGCGUAGAUAUUGGGAGGAACACCAGUAGCGAAGGCGGCUUUCUGGACUGCAACUGACACUGAGGCACGAAAGCGUGGGUAGCAAACAGG
Molecule: ribosomal RNA, 403 nt
Filed under: Verrucomicrobiota bacterium
Lineage: Bacteria; Pseudomonadati; Verrucomicrobiota
Description: Verrucomicrobia bacterium partial 16S ribosomal RNA
Rfam family: Bacterial small subunit ribosomal RNA
Source: RNAcentral